Molecule: ribosomal RNA, 483 nt
Filed under: uncultured bacterium
Lineage: Bacteria
Description: partial 16S ribosomal RNA
Rfam family: Bacterial small subunit ribosomal RNA
Source: RNAcentral
AUUGAACGCUGGCGGCAGGCCUAACACAUGCAAGUCGAGCGGAUGAAGGGAGCUUGCUCCUGGAUUCAGCGGCGGACGGGUGAGUAAUGCCUAGGAAUCUGCCUGGUAGUGGGGGAUAACGUCCGGAAACGGGCGCUAAUACCGCAUACGUCCUGAGGGAGAAAGUGGGGGAUCUUCGGACCUCACGCUAUCAGAUGAGCCUAGGUCGGAUUAGCUAGUUGGUGGGGUAAAGGCCUACCAAGGCGACGAUCCGUAACUGGUCUGAGAGGAUGAUCAGUCACCAGGGAAAUGGGCACGGGUCCAGAACCCGAGGGGGGGCAGGAGGGGGAAAAUUUGGACAAGGGGCGAAAGCCUGAUCCAGCCAGGCCGGGUGUGUGAAGAAGGGCUUCGGAUUGUAAAGCACUUUAAGUUGGGAGGAAGGGCAGUAAGUUAAUACCUUGCUGUUUGGACGUUACCAACAAAAUAAGCCCCGGCUAAUUUCGU